UCCCAAAAAAUAGNGUCCCAGUUCGGAUGUAGUCUGCAACCCGGCUACAUGAAGCUGGAAUCGCUAGUAAUCGCAGAUCAGAAUGCUGCGGUGAAUACGUUCCCGGGUCUUGUACACACCGCCCGUCACACCAUGGGAGUCGGAAAUGCCCGAAGUCGGUGACCCAACCGUUUACGGAGGGAGCUGCCGAAGGCAGGUCUGGUGACUGGGGUGAAGUCGUAACAAGGUAAC
Molecule: ribosomal RNA, 231 nt
Filed under: uncultured bacterium
Lineage: Bacteria
Description: partial 16S ribosomal RNA
Rfam family: Bacterial small subunit ribosomal RNA
Source: RNAcentral